Molecule: non-coding RNA, 101 nt
Organism: Acanthosepion pharaonis
Lineage: Eukaryota; Metazoa; Mollusca; Cephalopoda; Sepiida; Sepiidae
Source: the annotation of a GenBank genome assembly
AUACUGAAUCACUGGUUCACAUCUGAUCACCGAAGUUAGGCAACAUCGAGCCAGGUCAUUUCUUAGAUGGGUGACCGCUUGUGAAUACCAGCUGCCGUAAU